This 400-nucleotide ribosomal RNA is filed under the name uncultured bacterium. RNAcentral's name for it is "bacterial SSU rRNA". It matches the Rfam family "Bacterial small subunit ribosomal RNA", at positions 356 to 773 of the family's 1533-position model. The record is from RNAcentral.
GGGGAAUAUUGGACAAUGGGGGAAACCCUGAUCCAGCGACGCCGCGUGAGUGAAGAAGUGUUUCGGCAUGUAAAGCUCUAUCAGCAGGGAAGAAAAUGACGGUACCUGACUAAGAAGCCCCGGCUAACUACGUGCCAGCAGCCGCGGUAAUACGUAGGGGGCAAGCGUUAUCCGGAUUUACUGGGUGUAAAGGGAGCGUAGACGAUUCUGCAAGUCUGGAGUGAAAGCCCGGGGCUCAACCCCGGGACUGCUUUGGAAACUGUGGGACUAGAGUGCAGGAGAGGUAAGUGGAAUUCCUAGUGUAGCGGUGAAAUGCGUAGAUAUUAGGAGGAACACCAGUGGCGAAGGCGGCUUACUGGACUGUAACUGACGUUGAGGCUCGAAAGCGUGGGGAGCAAAC